This is a non-coding RNA of Hymenopellis radicata, 81 nucleotides long. Lineage: Eukaryota; Fungi; Basidiomycota; Agaricomycetes; Agaricales; Physalacriaceae. The record is from the annotation of a GenBank genome assembly.
GGCCUGAUGGUCUAGUAGUAUGAUUCCUUGUUAGGGUUCGCCGUUUCGAGGAGGUCCCGGGUUCAAUUCCCGGUCAGGCCC